CCUACGGGAGGCAGCAGUGAGGAAUAUUGGUCAAUGGCCGGAAGGCUGAACCAGCCAAGUCGCGUGAGGGACGACUGCCCUAUGGGUUGUAAACCUCUUUUAUAAGGGAAGAAUAAAUGCUACGUGUAGCAUGAUGCCUGUACCUUAUGAAUAAGCAUCGGCUAACUCCGUGCCAGCAGCCGCGGUAAUACGGAGGAUGCGAGCGUUAUCCGGAUUUAUUGGGUUUAAAGGGUGCGUAGGCGGUUUUUUAAGUUAGUGGUUAAACGUCGGGGCUUCACCUUGAUUUGCCAUUAAUACUGUAAGACUCGAGUUCAGACGAGGUAGGCGGAAUAAGUUAAGUAGCGGUGAAAUGCUCAGAUAUAACUUAGAACUCCGAUAGCGAAGGCAGCUUACCGGACUGCGACUGACGCUGAAGCACGAGAGCGUGGGUAUCAAACAGGAUUAGAUACCCUUGUAGUC
Molecule: ribosomal RNA, 459 nt
Filed under: uncultured bacterium
Lineage: Bacteria
Description: partial 16S ribosomal RNA
Rfam family: Bacterial small subunit ribosomal RNA
Source: RNAcentral